GCCGCCGCCUCCCGCCCGUAGCUGAGGAGCCGCCGGAGGCGACUCGGACGCCCCGCCCCCGGCCCCGCCCCGCGGCGCGCGGCCGGGCUCCCUCGGCCCUGGCAGGAGGAGUCGGGAGCUUAGUGGGGCAGCGACGUCCGAAAGUCUCGGGGGGCUCGGUCACAGUAACAUUUAUAGCGAUAAGCAAAAAAAGUGGGAGGCCCUGGCCGGCGGGUUUCUCAGCUGGAAGGCCGGGCUUCCCGCGCGCGCCCGGGCGCCACAGGCUCUGAGGCGAUGCUGCCAGCCGCGGCGCGGGGAGGAAGAAGCUGCCGGAGAACCCCGGUCUGCCCGAGUCGUCCUCACCGCGGAGGGGGACGGGCCACCUCGUCCCGAACCGCUUCCCACACCGUGCCCGGGCGUUCUGUGGCUCUGUGACGUUGCCGAGAGACACUCGGCCGUGGCACCUCGUGAGGGGUGCACCCCGCGGAGCUGCCCCAAGAAUGGCCUCCCCGCUGGCUCUCGCGGAGGAUGUAGCCAGGACUCGCGCACCUAUGGCGAUUUCAUUCUAAAGAUGCCGGGACGAGCUACCUGGAGCGCAGUCUGAGUUUUCCCCGGGUUCCUUUGAACGCGUCCAUGAAAUCACUACCCAUGUUUUGCCGACGUUCCUGUCACCCGGAGACCCCACCCACCCACCCAACUUUGUCCCGGACGCCCCGAUUCUCAGUCUCCAGGAAGUCAACACUUGGUUGUGUGUUGAUGCCCGAAUGCUGUCGGCGGCGCUGCAGCUCCUCGGCUCGGCGGGCGCGUCGCGGCGGGGCCCGGGGCAGCCGGCGGUGCCCUGCGGCAGGUGGGGCUGCGGCGGCGUGCGGGGCCGGGACUGCGGCGCCGCCGCGGAGAGAAGGUGCAUUCUCUGGGAAAAAAGCAACGAAGGGCUGACUCCGUUUUACUAGCAAACCAACGUUAUGAAUGAAGACAGGGAGCACACAUCGUAUUGUCUGAGAUGAAGACACUUGUAUUUACUGAUCGUCUUCAAUGCAGUGAGCAUGAGCACACUACUGGUACAUAAAGUACUCCAUAAAUGGGUGCCCUAAUCCAGCGGGACCAAGUCUUCUAUGAGAAGCGGUGGUUUGGACCCACACAGCAGGAAGGCCAUUGCAGAUGUCAGAGGCAAGGAGGGAGGCCUCAGAGGGCAUACACCCUGCCAACACUUGGUCUCAGCCUUUAGGACGGUGAGAAAAGAAAUGUCCGAGCUCUCUGGGACUUUGUUAGGCUGCCUGAGCAGGCUGACUACUACCAGGUCUGUAGGUAAGAAUUAUUUUGCAUGCCUGUGAGGCAUCUACAACUUCCAGAGUUGGAGGACAGUGCCCUCAGAAUCAAAUAAUCCAGCCAGCUUGAGCAGGAUCAGCAGGCUACGGCUUAUGGGUCAAAUCCAGCUUUGAUUCACUGUCCGUUCUGUUUGUUUUGUUUGAAAGGCAGUGCUACAGAGAGAACCAUUGGUUCACUCACCCAAUGCUGUGACAGCCAGGGCUGGGCCAGUUUGAAGCCAGGAGUCCAGAGCUUCUUCUGGGUCUCCCACGUGGGUGCAGGGGCCCAGGGGCUUGAGCCAUCUUAUAGCUGCUUUCCCAGGCACAUUAGCUGGGAGCCGGAUUGGAAAUGGAGCAACUGGGUCUUGAACUGGUGUCCAUAUGGGAUGCUGGUGUGGCAGGCAGAGGUUUAGCCUGUUAUGCCACAACACUGGCCCCCACUGUCCAUUUUUAUAAAUGAAGUUUGAUCAGAGCACAGCUACAUUCAGUCCUUUAUACAUAUUUACUACCUGGACUUUUACCAAACCAAACCAAAACCAAAACAAAAACAGGUAUGGAGCCUUCUGUAGACAAAGCAUCAAUAUUUUCCCACAGUGGAAAUGUCCUUCCAGGCCAUCCAGUCCAGGGGUUCCCAGAGAUCUCUCAGGGUAGACCUGAAGAUUCACUGAGUCACCAAGGAAACCAAAACAUGCUUUCAUCUAAAAAUCCUCAAUGGACCCAGCACAUCUCCCAAAACCCAAAUGGAGCCUGGCCCAUAGCAGGCCUCAGUGCCUACAAUGGCAUUUCCUAGGUGAUCCAAGAAAAUACAGCAAGUCCUUUUGUGUUUUUAUUUCCUGAUCACCAAAAUGGCUAAUAUGAUGCGUUGGUGUGAUGAAGAAAUGUCUUCUAUUUGGCAGACAUCAAUUUCCAUCAUAAAUCAACUUUGACAGAGACCGAUAAACACUCCUGAUCCUCCUUUUACAUUUUCCAUUCCACAUAUCAAAAAGCUUUUUGGGAAAGGAUUGAGGGCUUCCCCCACCAUGUUGAAUGGUAACUGUAGCAGAUUCUACCCAGUAAGACAACCAGAAGCUAAGACCAAUAAUGAUACCGCAGAUGGUAACUAACAUUUAUUCAGGGCCCACUCUUGGCUAAUACGAUGUUAAACUCCCCUCUUACAUUAACCAGCACGGCGGCCCAGUCUGACCCUCGU
Oryctolagus cuniculus (rabbit) is the source of this 2472-nucleotide non-coding RNA. The record is from RefSeq and is a predicted model, not a curated record. NCBI's taxonomy places the organism in Eukaryota, Metazoa, Chordata, Mammalia, Lagomorpha, Leporidae.